AUAUUUAUGGACCUAACUAUAAAUGGCAUCAACAUCUGGUUGGAGACCAAAGCAAAUGUGCAAUAACAAAUACUCAAUGGACGACAUUUGACGUAUUAUCACUGAAUCAAACUCUGACUUGCUGGACUCUGAUUUUUGAGGGAAGUAAACUGGAGAUGGAGAUCGAAAACCAAACUGAGGUACCAGCAUCAGCUGAUCAGUCCCCAGCUGAUUGUGGUGCUGAACACAUUUGUGUAGCUGAUGCACAUACAAGAACGUUUCCCCAGGAGGACCGCCACUUACGAUGACAAGAGGUUCAAACCAGAUUGUGUCGCACUAUGACUGCCACCGCCCCCCUUCUGUGGCAUGAGGACAACCAGGCAGCCGGCCCACUGCACAUUCCUGCUGACCAUCAUGCCACCCCUGUGCAUGCAACUACUACAAGAGAUGCCAAACAGGCACUGACAGCAGCGACAGCACGCAGCAAGAGAUUUUUUAUGUUGAUUUAUGUGCAAUACUGUUGCAUUGUGUGCAUUUCAGGAAACUGAGUUUUUUGCAAAAAAAUAUUCAGGUCUCAAAGAGUUAAGUAGCUUUGUAAAUGACCCACAUUAGAAAUCCUCCAUUGUGUCAAAUCUGGCUGAAUAUGGGGAUGAUGGCCAGUUAAUCUGACCAGUGCUAGCCUGGCACACCCUGUUGUGCAGCAUUAUUUAUGUACUAAUUUCAACAGGAGGACUUCCAAGAUGACAAACCUUUGCUAUGAUUGACCUGUGUAGAUGCAGGUAGAAAGCUGGACCAGUGCCUUUAUGAUAAGGAAUGACUGCAGCUAAAAGAAGGGCCCCUAAGCGACAAGAAACCCAAAUACAGUAUAUGCCAGUUGUGAUUAAAAAGUGGAGCGCAGUUUGUGCAAAGGCAGCGCUCAGAGAUGGCAACACCAGGCAGGCUCAUUCGAUAAGAUUUUCAAAAGAUACGCCACAUCUUAAAGUGCACAAUUCGACUUUAAACUCAGGCGGCUGUUAACUUUAUUUUGGCCCCUGCAUGUGGUAUCGAGAAGCAGUGCUUGUGACUGUAGAGAAGGGAAACUCUGUCUUGUUCAACUGUUCCCAGAAAUUUGCCAAUGCAGCAAAGAUUGAAUUCUCUUGGUAUAAAGAAGAAGCCAGCCCAAUGAGUAUUUGUGAAUUCGUUCUGGAGAACAAAACUGGGAAUAUAAGAAACUGCAAGACACGCCUGCUUGUCACUGAGUCACCAUGGCCAAUGCUGCUACUACAGGAUGUGAGGGUCAGUGACAGUGGGAGAUACAAAUGUAAGACAGAAAGAUUCAUUCCACCGCCUCAUGUUGGGGACACAAGUGAGACAAAUCUUUCUGUGGUGGGUCCUCCAGAUAUUACCCUGCAAUACACCUUCUUUAAUCACUCUUCAGACUGCGUACAGCUUUUAUGUAUUCUGGAGGACUUCUUCCCCUAUGAGGUGAAUGUAACCUGGUGGAAAGAUGGGCGGAGAGCUGAUGAGGGAGACCACCUAAAGGGUCGGUUCUUUGAUCAACCUGUUAUCAACACAUCUCUCAACAUUUGCAAGCCCAGCUGGAAAUCAGGUGAUGUGGUUUCCUGUUUAGUAAACCACUCAGCAUCUGCUUCAGUCACGAGUAAAAAUGUCACUCUUUACCCUAAUAAAGACACACCAUGCUGCACAAAUCACUGGAUCUAUGCUGGUGCAAUCUGCGCAGGCAUCUCAUUUCUAAUUAUCCUGCUAAGCUACCCUGUAUUUAAAUGUAUUAAAGGCAUUCAAUUGAAGUCUGAACCUCCGAACAUUAGUAUAUUUAAUAAUUUUGUAUAUGAGAACUAUCAACACAAUGCAGCCAAUGAAAGCAAAAGAGGCAUCUCUGGGAAUGAAUGUAUAUAUGAAAACUAAGAACUUAGCUUGACUAACAUGUGAAGCGACCACAACGCACCGGCUGUCUAUCGAAAGAGAGCAACACCAUUACUACAAUAUAAGUUUGUUUUUAUCCAACUGAAACUUUUUUUUAGCUCCUUCCUGAUGUUUAUCUACACCUAACAGUCAGAAGUGUGAAGCCCUCUAUGAUGCACAACAGACUGAAUGCUGGACCCUCAGCAUGGAGCCACUAGGCUAGGUUUUUCACUGCAGCCUGUCACCAUUGUCGUGCUCCAUGACAUUAAAAGGUGAAGUGGACAUUGCAAAGUAGCUGAAUGUCCUUUAAUUCAAAAUCUGUGACUCCGUUGUCAUGGGAUCACACCAAGCAGUAGGCUGUUAGAACAUUUCUGGCAGUCUGGCACUUCAUUUGAUGUCAAAUAAACAAGUAAAGCUGCUUUUAACCAUGUGAAGUAUUACAGUUCAGUGAAAAAGGGAGUGCACGAUGGGAGUUGAAGGAUGCUCUGCCUGCUCUCCAUGGCUAGCAUGUAUGCUGGAUACAGUUUAAUGGUACAUAUACCAUUCUCAAGACAGGCUGAAGUAAAAAGCACACAACUUCAGUGAUCCUGCUUGGAUUGAAUUUAAAAGUCCUUCUGCAAUUAACAUUGGUGUGGCAAUUUCUUAAUAAGGUGAAUAAAGCCAUGUGUUAAGAGUGUUACUGAACAUACAUAUGGCUUGACAAACUGGCUUAGCAUGUUCAUCCAUUUCCAAGAAUCUGAUUACCGUAUUUACGGGUGUACCACGCGCACAUUUUUUCCCGAAAAUUAGCAUUAGAAAAUCAGGUGCACGUCAUACAGAA
This is a non-coding RNA of Polypterus senegalus (gray bichir), 2701 nucleotides long. The record is from the annotation of a RefSeq genome assembly. Lineage: Eukaryota; Metazoa; Chordata; Cladistia; Polypteriformes; Polypteridae.